Non-coding RNA from Pelobates cultripes (western spadefoot toad), 1469 nucleotides. Lineage: Eukaryota; Metazoa; Chordata; Amphibia; Anura; Pelobatidae. The record is from the annotation of a GenBank genome assembly.
UGCAAAUUGCAGUUGAACGCAAACAGCAAGAAAAUGCAAAAAUUGCUUGUGUCAUUAAGCGUAAGUCAAGCUUCUGAAGCUGUGUCCUUAAGGGGUUAAGGGGUUAAGCUGCAUCAAGGAAAAUUGUCCUGGCACUGAAUUACAUGUAUGCUUCACUUUUUUUUAAACCCAGUAAUCUUUACUAAAAGAGAAACACUCUAACACUUUCAAAUUAUAUUUAUUUUCAGUUAGAGUAUUCCUUUUAAGAUUAUGUCCUAUGUUUUUUUUAUUUAAAUACAUUUCUCGUUUAAUAUUUUAAAGGAAGAGGAGUAAAGGAAUUGUCUGUUUAAAAAGAGGCUCAUGUUUUGUUGGUUUAAAGUGAAACUAAAGGUUGCUUUUCUUCUAAACCCAGCCCAGUCUUCUCAUAUGAGAAAAGGAAGAAAAUUGUCCAUUGCAUGGUUUUGUUAAAUGUCAUUGUAUAAGUCUAUGUGGCAUAGUUUAAUAUAUGUUUGUGUAACAGUCUAAUACCGAGCAAUGGUGAUUUGGUAUUUUCAAUUGAAUUAUUACAGUAAUCCAGUAAUGCAUUUUCAUUUGGUUUUUGUUUUGGGCAAUAUUCAGUGUUUUCUUUCCACCUCUAGAUGGCACUAUUAUCUUGAUCUUGGUGCAGCCAUUGGCUGGAUAAUGGAAUAUGUAUGACUAUCAAUGUUACCAAAGAAAGGAAAAAUGAGCUUCCAUAAAUGCAUGAAUACUUGUAACCUAGGCCCUUUCUAAUGCACUCCUUUUACUUUGUGGAUUCUGUUCUGAGCUUGAAGCACAAAUUGAAAAAUUCUUGAAUAAAGAAAACUGUAUCUUAAAUAAAGAUACAAUCAUGCUAACCAAUAUCCCCUAAUACCUAGUUGUGCGCAUCUUGAUGAUGUAUGCAGAUGGAUUAUUCAAACCCAUUCAUUUUGGAGCAGCCAAGUUACAUUUCCUUUUUUUUGUGGUAACUAUUUAAUACCGGUUUACAGCUGUAAAUUGGUAUCAAUCUUUGCAGCAGAUAAUCAAUAUUACUGGCACAUUACAGUUUGAUCAUACGGUCUCCAUCUUAAUGAGAGAUAUAUCUUCAGAAGGAUAUUGAUACCUUAGAGAGGGUUCAGAGAAGGGCUACUAACUGGUUCAUGGAUUGCGGGAUAAAACUUACCAGGAAAGGUUAAAGGAUCUUAACAUGUAUAGCUUGGAGGAAAGACGAGACAGGGGGGAUAUGAUAGAAACAUUUAAAUAUAUAAAGGGAAUCAACACAGUAAAGGAGGAGACUAUAUUUAAAAGAAGAAAAACUACCACAACAAGAGGACAUAGUCUUAAAUUAGAGGGACAAAGGUUUAAAAAUAAUAUCAGGAAGUAUUACUUUACUGAGUGGGUAGUGGAUGCAUGGAAUAGCCUUCCAGCUGAAGUGGUAGAGGUUAACACAGUAAAGGAGUUUAAGCAUGCGUGGGAUAGGCAUAAGGCUAUCC